CCCCUAGAUGUUCUGGGCCGCACGCGCGCUACACUGAACAGUUCAACAAGUCUUAACCUUGGCCGAUAGGUCUGGGUAAUCUUUGAACGCUGUUCGUGAUUGGGAUAGACCUUUGCAAUUAUGGGUCUUCAACGAGGAAUUCCUAGUAAACGCAAGUCAUCAGCUUGCAUUGAUUACGUCCCUGCCCUUUGUACACACCGCCCGUCGCACCUACCGAUUGAAUGGUCCGGUGAAAUCUCGGGACGGCGGCUUGGUCGCUUGCGUCCGACUGCUGAAACUUGAUUAAACCAUNUNAUUUANNGGAAGGUGAANUCGUANCA
Molecule: ribosomal RNA, 320 nt
Filed under: uncultured eukaryote
Lineage: Eukaryota
Description: partial 18S ribosomal RNA
Rfam family: Eukaryotic small subunit ribosomal RNA
Source: RNAcentral